This 76-nucleotide transfer RNA is filed under the name Citrobacter phage Michonne. Its description in RNAcentral is "tRNA-Cys". It matches the Rfam family "tRNA". From Rfam's summary of the family: Transfer RNA (tRNA) molecules are approximately 80 nucleotides in length. The record is from RNAcentral. Lineage: Duplodnaviria; Heunggongvirae; Uroviricota; Caudoviricetes; Andersonviridae. RNAcentral also lists the same sequence under 2 other names.
GUAUCGGUGACAGAAAUGGAUAUGUCCCUGUCUGCAAAACAGGUUUAUGAGGGUUCAAGUCCCUUCCGAUACUCCA